Molecule: ribosomal RNA, 478 nt
Filed under: uncultured bacterium
Lineage: Bacteria
Description: partial 16S ribosomal RNA
Rfam family: Bacterial small subunit ribosomal RNA
Source: RNAcentral
GACGAACGCUGGCGGCGUGCUUAACACAUGCAAGUCGAACGGUAAGGCCCUUCGGGGUACACGAGUGGCGAACGGGUGAGUAACACGUGGGUGAUCUACCCUGCACUUCGGGAUAAGCCUGGGAAACUGGGUCUAAUACCGGAUAGGACCACUGCCUGCAUGGGUGGUGGUGGAAAGCUUUUGCGGUGUGGGAUGGGCCCGCGGCCUAUCAGCUUGUUGGUGGGGUGAUGGCCUACCAAGGCGACGACGGGUAGCCGGCCUGAGAGGGUGACCGGCCACACUGGGACUGAGAUACGGCCCAGACUCCUACGGGAGGCAGCAGUGGGGAAUAUUGCACAGUGGGCGCAAGCCUGAUGCAGCGACGCCGCGUGAGGGAUGACGGCCUUCGGGUUGUAAACCUCUUUCAGCACCGACGAAGCGCAAGUGACGGUAGGUGCAGAAGAAGGACCGGCCAACUACGUGCCAGCCGCCGCGGUAA